This is a long non-coding RNA of Betta splendens (Siamese fighting fish), 1464 nucleotides long. RefSeq lists it as uncharacterized. Lineage: Eukaryota; Metazoa; Chordata; Actinopteri; Anabantiformes; Osphronemidae. The record is from RefSeq and is a predicted model, not a curated record. The transcript is spliced from 4 exons.
GUAACGGCGACGCUCGAUUCCUUCGGCGAAAACAAACCGUUUAUCAGCUCUGCCUUCCAAUAGUAUUGGGCCGUACCACUGUUUCUGACUGGGUGCACGGGAAACAGACCCACCAGCUUGAAGAUCGCAAACGGUCCAGUGCAGCAGUGUGGCUCAGGCCUGUAGGAGCGGUGUGACACCUGUCUACCGCAGAACGUGGACGUGACCAAAGUGAUGGCGAUGUGGCGACGUUGAAAACAAGCAGCAUAAGAGGUGGUGGCCGCCGGCGCGGUUCUCACUUCGAGACCGUAACAAUGCCCAACACCUGCAGUAAAGAUAAGUGCUCACCCAGCGUGAUGGAUCCGUGCUGUGAAGCACAGACGUCUGAAAGUCUGUCUGCUUCUCCCAGCCCUGCACCAACACGGGCACUAUUUUUAUAAUGAAAUGCCACAGAAAGCAACCUCCUGACAAGACGGGAAGCAAACCACAAUGUCUGAUUUCCUGAGUGUACUCUUUAUUGAUUCAUGUACUCGUGUUACUAAUGCACAUGUUCAGCAAUUUACGAAUGUCAUGUAAUAUAUACAUUAAUUUACUGCUGAAUCACUUGCUUUUACAACUGUCUGCAUAUCCACCAUGGGGCACUAGGUGGCGGUAGAGCUCCAUGACUCACAAAGCAAAAUGAUCUAGAGAGGGGGAAAAUGAAAUAUUAAUAACGAAGACAAAUAAAUAAAAUCCAAACUAGAAAUACAACCAGGACUAAAAACUACCAUCAUACACAUAAAUAGGAAAGAUAGUCCAAUUAAAUGUAGCUUAAGUGUAGUCUGUACUGGAAACAUAAUGUCUUGUACUGCUUUAGUUCAAACUAAAAAACAUUGUAAUUAAUUUGGUAAAAGUAUGAAUGUAUAAAUAACAAACAAAACAAAUCAAUUAUCAAUGAUCCAAAUGAAUUUAUAUUUAUUAUAUGUCAGCGGACGAUUUAUGUAAUGGAACCGAACACAGGCUUAGGCAAGGACAGAAUUUAGCGUGUACUGUAUGUCAGCUCUUUAAAUGUACUAUAAUAAAAAACUAUUUGAUAUUUGGCAAAACCUGAAAAGCAAAUGUUAGAGAUGGCUAAGAGUGAGGAGGUCAGCAAGAAUACAGGGAGGAUGAAGAAGAAGAGCAGAGUAAUACAGCACUGAAGGACACUGCAGGGCUGUGGCGAGAACGAUGGUCGGCCUCUGUCAGGUUCUGGGGCAGUAGCAGCUGGGUUACAGGACUGUUAGCCUCAGCAACUGGGAGCUGGAGGAUGUGGUGUAGAAGCUGGGCCAGCAGCCGGACGUCAAGCUGAGCACGGAACACAGUCCAGAAUGAAGGAUGCAUUGUAAAAUAGUGUGCUACUGAUAAUAAUGAGGAGAGCUCCCUGAGUCUGAUUAGGUACAAGACCCUUUACUGAUAAAUAAAAGGCUUUGAGUGUUUAGCAUUUCAUUUGGCCAAUAUUCCAAAGUA